GUCGCUGCGCCGGCGGCUCUCGCGCCUCUCCCGCUGUGCCCUUCUGCUGCGCCCCGGAUCGCCGGUAGAUGCGGGAGCCGGGUGAGGCUGGCCCCGCGGGUGGCCGCUCCGGGAGCAUGUCCGACGUGGCGGCAGAAAUAAGGAGCUUUGUGCAGAUAAAUGGUCACACCUGACUGAAAUGCUCAUGAAGACACCUCUUAAGAAUGAAGUGCCUCUGCUGGAAAAUGCCUAGAUGUACUUCAUAGAACUUGCAAGACACUUUGACAUGAAUCUCCUUGAAGAGUGACAAAUUCCCAGGGGGGAAAAAUGAACAAAACAUAAGAUUCAAACUUGCAGCUCCUGCUUUGAUGAAAGUGUAGUAAUGAUUACUGACUUCAUCCAUGGUCAUUUAAUUGUUUUCUGUAAUGUAUCA
This is a long non-coding RNA of Terrapene triunguis (Three-toed box turtle), 412 nucleotides long. RefSeq lists it as uncharacterized. The record is from RefSeq and is a predicted model, not a curated record. Lineage: Eukaryota; Metazoa; Chordata; Testudines; Emydidae. The transcript is spliced from 4 exons.